AUUGAACGCUGGCGGCAGGCCUAACACGUGCAAGUCGAGCGGAUGAAGGGAGCUUACUCCUGGAUUCAGCGGCGGACGGGUGAGUAAUGCCUAGGAAUCUGCCUGGUAGUGGGGGAUAACGUCCGGAAACGGGCGCUAAUACCGCAUACGUCCUGAGGGAGAAAGUGGGGGAUCUUCGGACCUCACGCUAUCAGAUGAGCCUAGGUCGGAUUAGCUAGUUGGUGGGGUAAAGGCCUACCAAGGCGACGAUCCGUAACUGGUCUGAGAGGAUGAUCAGUCACACUGGAACUGAGACACGGUCCAGACUCCUACGGGAGGCAGCAGUGGGGAAUAUUGGACAAUGGGCGAAAGCCUGAUCCAGCCAUGCCGCGUGUGUGAAGAAGGUCUUCGGAUUGUAAAGCACUUUAAGUUGGGAGGAAGGGCAGUAAGUUAAUACCUUGCUGUUUUGACGUUACCAACAGAAUAAGCACCGGCUAACUUCGUG
RNAcentral lists this ribosomal RNA (484 nucleotides) under uncultured bacterium. RNAcentral's name for it is "partial 16S ribosomal RNA". It matches the Rfam family "Bacterial small subunit ribosomal RNA", at positions 30 to 507 of the family's 1533-position model. The record is from RNAcentral.